Molecule: long non-coding RNA, 243 nt
Filed under: Olea europaea (common olive)
Lineage: Eukaryota; Viridiplantae; Streptophyta; Magnoliopsida; Lamiales; Oleaceae
Description: long non-coding RNA (OEUR_LNC000703)
Source: RNAcentral
UAAGAUAAGAACAUAUCUAAACUGUUAUGAGAACAUUGUCAAUCCAAUAAAUGGAAAGAACCUAUGGCCUGAUGUUGACGCACGCCCAAUCGAACCACAUGGCUAAUAUAUACCUAAGAGAUGAAGAAAGCAAACAAAGGAAGACAAGCUGAAGAAGAUGUGAUUUCUCAAAUUGGUGGUACAUCAAAGAUGAAAAGAAAAGAUGCGGUAGAAAUGACUUGCAGUGUAUGUGGACUGACUGGC